CUAGCUAGCCUCGGGGAUUUCCUGGUUAGGAAAGCAUUGUUUCCUUGGAUAUUCAUAAAUUCGACGUUCUUUUCUUUUGAUAGGUAGGAUAGAUUUUUUUUUAUGUAAACCACGAAUUAAAGAAUACUGGUAAAAAAAAAAGUACAUCCAAAACAUUGGGAUCAUUACAAGAUGUGUGUAGAGUUGAGAAAGUCAAUCGUGUCUUUCCCCUAUGUGGAUUUUGUAUGUGUUCCCUAGUGAGGGAAAGCAUCUUUUGCCUUAUGACUACCAAUCAAGUACCUAUAUUAACAUUUACAAUAAUUCAAAAAACAAAAUUUGGGAAAUGGGCGCGAUUUGCUAGAUGUAAAGCUGUAUGACCGUAAACAAAAGCUGCUUAGAGUUUGCUAAUUUUGCUGGAAAUUUAAAGUAGCUUUCUUCACUAUGUGCAUCCAAAGGGAUCUUUUACACAAAUGACUGUCACGAAACAUCUGGUUUGUGUUUCAACUUGGAUCCUCUUAAUAAUUGUAUCACUUUUGUGGUGGACAUUCUUUUCUUUUGCAGACCCGUACUCUGACAUGAUUAUGGCCGAUGGUAUUAGCCUCAUCUGCAAUGACAUUCAGGUGGGUUGGUCUAGUUAGUUAAUCUAACGAGUCAAGAGACACUUGUUAUAUCGUUAUAGUUUCAAAAAAAAUUGUGUAAUUUUUCUUUUUCAAACUUCUUGUAAAUUUCAAGUUGUAUAACAUAAUGAUGUGUAGGUAUAUUGCACUUUAUAGCUUCUCCUACCUAUUUUCUGUUAAGUUAUUAUUCCUGAUUAUGCUUGAGUAAAUGUUAACUCUUUUGUUUCAUUGUCAGGUUGAUCCUCAGGAUAUAGUUAUGGUAUGUGCUAUUCACUAUAACCUUCUCAUCUAUUUAUUUGUGACAAAUUUGUAUAGGAUAUAGUUAUGGUAUGUGCUAUUCACUGUAACCCUCUCAUCUACUUUUUUCUUUCUGUCUCUCUAUUCCCUUUUAAGAUCUAGUUUUUUUUUUUGGGGGGGGGGGAUUUUUCUCAAAGGAGAGGUUAUUAAUAGAACUAAUGGUAAGAAGUAAUAUUGCCUUGAAGAGAACUACCAUUUAUUAUAAUUUUACAGUGGGCCAUAUGGCUUGGAAAUUUUGAGCUUAUACAAUUGUAGUUAUUGACUUAAUCAAACACAAUAUUUGUUCCUGAUUUCUGAUGAAUUCAUGACCAAAUGACAAUUAGUACCACAGUAAAAUUGAAGCCACACAACCAAUCAGGUUUGGUUGUUCUAUAGCUUGCUGCGUGUUUUAUGUUUUUGAACUAAGAUGGUGAUCUUUCACUUAACAGAUAUGUUUUAAAUUUCUGCUUUCUUAUAAGAAGAAGAAGAAGAAGAAGAAGAAGAAGAAGAAGAAGAAGAAGAAGAAGAAGAAGAA
Molecule: long non-coding RNA, 1407 nt
Filed under: Nicotiana benthamiana
Lineage: Eukaryota; Viridiplantae; Streptophyta; Magnoliopsida; Solanales; Solanaceae
Description: long non-coding RNA (NBEN_LNC020770)
Source: RNAcentral